This 307-nucleotide ribosomal RNA is filed under the name uncultured bacterium. RNAcentral describes it as "bacterial SSU rRNA". It matches the Rfam family "Bacterial small subunit ribosomal RNA", at positions 28 to 334 of the family's 1533-position model. The record is from RNAcentral.
GAUGAACGCUAGCGGCAGGCUUAACACAUGCAAGUCGAGGGGUAACAGGAGUGCUUGCACUUGCUGACGACCGGCGCACGGGUGCGUAACGCGUAUACAAUCUACCUUAUGCUGAGGGAUAGCCCAGAGAAAUUUGGAUUAAUACCUCAUAGUAUCAUAAAGCUGCAUAGUUUAAUGAUUAAAGGUUACGGCAUAAGAUGAGUAUGCGUCCUAUUAGUUUGUUGGUGUGGUAACGGCACACCAAGACUACGAUAGGUAGGGGCCCUGAGAGGGGGAUCCCCCACACUGGUACUGAGACACGGACCAG